UGAAAAAUAAAUGUGCAGUUGUAUGAUGGAGUAGUAUCUAUAUCGGUAGUAAUAUAAAAACUUUGUUUAUUUUGUACACGCUAAUAUCAGGAACUACUGGCCCGAAUUAAAUAAUUCGUUUUAUAUUGGAUAGUGCAUUUACCAAAGAAUGCUAUAUAUACGGUGUAACAAAAAGGGGGUAUACAUAUCUUGUGCAUGAUUUCUAGAUAACGUAACAAACGAUACGGGAAGGGUUUUUAAACUCAUGUUUUCAUGGAAUGAAGUUAUGAAUUUGUCCAAUACAUAAAAUUCUAGAAAGCAAACAUUUGGAAAUUAAAUCAAUACAUAACUAACAAGAAGUCAGCUGAUCGGUGUCAGUGCAAGUGCACUCACUGUUCUUAAAUAAAAACAAACCCCUUACUCCUGAUAUUUCUCCGAACAAAGAAAAAAAGGUCCCGGAUAUUUAUUUUUCGGAAAAUAUUCUUUUUUCUUAUAAAUAGUUUUAAGAAGAAAGUUCUUCAUAAAAAACUAAGAAUAGUAGACAAACUAAGCCAAAACCUAGAGCGAGUACAAUUUCGGACAUUAAUUGUAAAGAAAAGUUUAAUUGUGGGAGAGCCAUGCUUCGGCACGAAUGGGCCGGCUCGACCGGAGUGAUACCAUGACCUCACAGAAAACCGACGUGAAACAACGCUUGCGUUGUUUCGUUGUGUGAGUGAGGUUACCGGAUGCCCAAUUCCCCCCUUCCCAAUCUUCCCCAUCCCCAUUCCCGAACAACAACCCUUAAAUUCUUAACUCCCAAAAAGCCGGUAACGCACUUGUAAAGCCUCUGGUGUUUCAAGUGUCCAUGGGCGGCGGCGAUUGCUUACCAUCAGGUAAUACGUCUGCUCGAUUAUC
Long non-coding RNA from Spodoptera frugiperda (fall armyworm), 873 nucleotides. RefSeq lists it as uncharacterized. The record is from RefSeq and is a predicted model, not a curated record. NCBI's taxonomy places the organism in Eukaryota, Metazoa, Arthropoda, Insecta, Lepidoptera, Noctuidae. The transcript is spliced from 2 exons.